RNA transcript from Eurytemora carolleeae, 3867 nucleotides. RefSeq lists it as uncharacterized. Lineage: Eukaryota; Metazoa; Arthropoda; Copepoda; Calanoida; Temoridae. The transcript has 4 exons. The record is from RefSeq and is a predicted model, not a curated record.
AUGAAAAUGUCUGAAGAUUCGUGAUCUUUACGGAUUGUUAUUUAGUGAUGUUAAGUGAACAAGAAUAUAUGAUUGUUAAUCAUGAAGUUUAACUAUUUGUUAGGAUUUCUAAUUGUUCUUGUUCACAGCAGUAACAGUUCAUUGAACUGCAGGGACGCAUUGAAUGAUAUUGCGCUGAAGCUUGAAUACUCCGAGGAAAGCCUCGAACUAUUAUUCCAAAAUGUUCAACAAAUAAACGAAACUCUGCAAGUCUGUCUCGGUAAAACUAAGGACCCGGGAGUUGAACUAGUGUUAGAACUAGUAUCUCUUCAAGACUCUCUGAACUCAGAUAAUUGUUGUAAGAAACCAUGUAAAGAUUCUAGAGUACAAGACAAGGUUUAUUUAAGUAAAAUCAUAUCUGAUCCUUCAUUCACAUUCCGUUAUGUGGAAGGGUUAUAUUUCUAUAGAUUCAGGCGUUGUUCAUGUCCGAACCAAUACUGCACAAGUUGCAGAACUAUCCUUUGCAGUGAAACUCAGAGUUUCAAAGUUUUCAGCGAAGACAAAUCUGAAUAUGGUUGCGGAGACAUGAGCUUAUCCUACUUAAAUAAGCAUACACGGUUCUCCUUUAACCAGGAGGAGGAAAACUGUACCCUGGAGAUAAAACCUGUUUUUCCUUCCUGUUCCCCAAUUCUUCAUUAUUCGCAAGCUGAAAUAUCAGUGUUUCAGACUGAAGAGAAUGAGACGUGUCCUGGUGAGUUAGAAGGAUUAGAUAAACUCCACACAUCACAAAGGAAUAUUUAUUCUUGUAAUUCAACUCUCUGUCCAACUGUUAACCUUUUCAACACAAGCUUGGGAUUUGUCAAUUAUGAUUUUGAAGCAGAGAUGAACUCCAGCUACUGUGUACUCAUUGAGCAAAGAAGUCCGUUCUGUGAGAUGAACCCUGAACUAUGCUCGGUAUAUUACGACACCCCUGUUAAGUGCAGAUUAUACUCAAACCAAGCAAUUCUAGUUCUUCCUCUCUCUGAACCAAUAUUUAUUGGUUGCGUUUGUGGAAUACUUUUCCUCAGUCUCCUUCUUCUUCUCUGGACCGUGGUUAAAUGUAAGAAAGAACAAACCACUCCGAACUCUUCACCAGAGCCGGAGCUAAUCAAAGAAAAGAACAUUCCUCGGUCAUUAACUAUCGAUGAGAUGGAACACAUAUGUAGACUAAGGCACCAGGAGCUGGUUCUAGUCUACUUUCCAGAUACAGAGAGAUUUAAAGAUCUAAACCGUCUCUUCAAAAAUUGGCUUUUAUCUCUCAGCAUUCUCAAUGUGAACGAUGUCACCGACGUUUAUGAUGAGAAGUUCACCGAGGGUCCUGAUGGAAUCCUCGAGAAUCCUGAUGGAUGGGUUUCUAACCUCCUGAAUGACCAAGAACGAAGAGUAAUACUUGUAACGUCUAAGUUAGCAUAUGAGUGUUUGGUUCAUCUGAGGAAAGGAUUAGCUCCUCCAAAGUUUCCAAACUACGAGGCACACAGUCAACUACUCUUCAGUAUUCUCAAACUCCUGGAUUCGGAGAUGUUUCGUGGAAAUUAUAGGAGGCUAAUGUGUGUGAGAUACGAGGAUUUAAAGAUUUGUGAUCGCAGAUAUGGUUCCGAGAGCUUUAACAUUGUCCCAGGGACAGAGUAUCUGCUCCCACAGCACUUGGAGGACGUUGCACGGUGGAUCCAUCCUGUAGAAGCAAAACCUGGACUCUGGGCGGAGCAUAGACCUCAGGUUCGAAACCUCCUCGAUUCUCUCAAGCAGUAUCGACACCACGAGGAUAAUAUAUUCACCGUAUCUUUCUACGACGGGGAGAACGGAACUUUACUUGGACAUGAGUUUAAGAACGGGUUCUAACUCUUAUCAUCAACCCAGAAUUAAUCUAUAUAAACAUGGAACGAGAAGAGUUUCUCAGGGUUGAAAGCUUUAUCUUACAAACCCCUUACCUAAAUUCUCACUAGAAAUUUGGUAGAUUUAGAUAUGAUCUUACUUUCCAGUUUCCAUAAAUAGAAUUAGACCAUUUCCUAAUCUCAUAUUUACCUUUAAAACUUAGAAUUUUGUUUUGUAACAUUCCGUGCCAAAAAUAUUCUUCCAUAAACAAUAAGAAUGGAUUGUAUGGAUUCCGUGCAUCUGAACAAAUAGCAUUGACGUCCUAAUAUACAUGAAUAAUACUCCUCAACCAGCCAAUAACAUACCGGUGCUCUUUUCAAUCUAGAAAAGUUUAGGGGUGGAAAUUGUUCAGUUUCUUUAUUCCAGAACAGAAUAAGACAGAUCAUAGAUUUAUAUUAAUCAUAGAUUACUUAGACAUUAGCUAUUAUUUUUUUCUUCCCUCAAAAGAAAUUUUUCAAUCUUUGCAAAUAAUUUCACAAACAAGCUUAUUAAAAAAAUAUUUACCUAAACCAAUCAUAAAUUAAUUCAUGCUUACUUUUCAGCAAAUCGCCAAAACAUUGUUGAUUUAUUAAAAAAAGGUGUUUUAUUUAACUCUUAAAUUCAUUUUCAAUCAUAGUCUUUCAUUCUGAAAUCUCUUAAAUUUUCAAAAUAUUUUUACUACUUCCACUAAUUGUAUUCUAGAAAAGUCAAUGAUAAAAGAAAAAUGUACUUUAAAGACAUAUUUUAUCUACUCCUUCUUGCCAUAAUUACUUAAUUUCUACAUUAAAUACUUUUUUGAAAAAUACUAGGCGUUUUUAUUUAUUUAGUCCCACAGACCGAAUUAAAACGAUAAAAAUGUCUUUUUUGUAAUUGUUUGCAUAUCAGUUUGAAAAUAUUAAACCAUGCUGACGUAACAGAUUGGCAAUUUAUCUUUUUUCUUCACAUUUUAAUAAAAAUUAUGUGAAAUAAAAAAUAUGAAUAUUAAUCAACUAGUUAAUAUUCCGAGACUGGCAGUGGUUGGUUUAUCAUUUAGAAUUAGACAAUUGUGCGAGAUAUAAUUCAUCAUAUUGCCCUUGACGCAUAAUUAUGCUCAAUAACAGUUUACUCAUUCUUUACUUUCAAUAUUAUGGUAACCCUUUUUAUUUUUGUUGACUAGUACUUAAUGUUGAAAAUCGUCCGUAUUUAACUUUAUUGUGUACCAUCUAGUCUAGAAAUCAAGCGAACACAUAAUUGUAUUUAAAAGAAAUAUUUUUGAUGAAUAUUAGCGUUAUAUUGAAACAGUGAUAGUAGUAAACGUUGGAAUGAAGAAUCUCAUGUUUAUUGUAUGUACCAGUAUUCUGAAUGUGAUCCGAUUAUUUUGUUAACAAUAUAUAUUAUCGUAUUAUUCAGUACUCAAUACACUAUUUUUGAAACCUGAUCUUUUGGCAAAUUUAAACAGCUUAAUCCCAUCCAGGCAAUGGUUCUAAAUACAAAAGGACAGAAAAAAGACUCAGAUUUCAAUACAGUUAACACUUGACAAAACAAACAGAAAUUCACAAGAAAAAUAUCAAUAAGAAUUCACUAAUAAAAAACUGAAAUGUAAAGGAAUUCAAAGUUUUCUAUGGAUGAUCUAUCCAAUUCAAUUUUGACAGCUUAUUCAGCAAUCCUGAAAAAUUCUUCUUUUCCAUCCUUCAAUAUGAAGAGUUCUUGCCUCCGGGUUUAUGAAAUGAGAGCUGGAUCACCAGUUAAUUAUGAAACGUCCAGAUAUUGCAUUAAAUUAUACAACUCAUGUAUUUUCUUAUUUUCUUCCUUAUCGUAUUUAUUAUAUAUUUAACCCAGUAUUGAGUACGCUGUAGUUCUUGUAAACAGUUACCCCCCGGCUCUACUUUAUCUAGUCAGUUAAUUUCGUCCUGUAUUUAUAGAACAAAAUGUUGGUACUUCUCCCCCUCUCCUUGAAUCAGUAAAUUUAGACGGAUCUUGUUGAGUUGAGAUGGUUCGAAAAUGAGGUGAAAGAGAAUC